RNAcentral lists this transfer RNA (83 nucleotides) under Actinomycetota bacterium. Its description in RNAcentral is "Actinobacteria bacterium tRNA-Leu". It matches the Rfam family "tRNA". Rfam says of the family: Transfer RNA (tRNA) molecules are approximately 80 nucleotides in length. Their secondary structure includes four short double-helical elements and three loops (D, anti-codon, and T loops). The record is from RNAcentral. Lineage: Bacteria; Bacillati; Actinomycetota.
GCGGGCGUGGCGAAAUUGGUAGACGCGCCGGCUUUAGGUGCCGGUGGCCCUUGGUCGUGGGGGUUCGAGUCCCUCCGCCCGCA